GUUAUAUGGUCAAGCGAAUAAGCGCACACGGUGGAUGCCUUGGCGGUCAGAGGCGAUGAAGGACGUGGCAGCCUGCGAAAAGUAUCGGGGAGCUGGCAACAAGCUUUGAUCCGGUAAUGUCCGAAUGGGGAAACCCACCCGCUUGCGGGUAUCCUGCAGUGAAUACAUAGCUGCUGGAAGCGAACCUGGUGAACUGAAAUAUCUAAGUAACCAGAGGAAAAGAAAUCAACCGAGAUUCCCUGAGUAGCGACGAGCGAACGGGGACUAGCCCUUAAGCUGGAAUGGUUCUAGAAAAACAGCCUGGAACGGCUGGCCAUAGAAGGUGAUAGCCCUGUAUUUAAAAGGGCCACUCCAGUGAAGACGAGUAGGGCGGGGCACGUGAAACCCUGUCUGAACAUGGGGGGACCAUCCUCCAAGGCUAAAUACUACUGACCGACCGAUAGUGAACCAGUACCGUGAGGGAAAGGCGAAAAGAACCCCGGAGAGGGGAGUGAAAUAGAUCCUGAAACCGUGUGCGUACAAGCAGUAGGAGCUCGAAAGAGUGACUGCGUACCUUUUGUAUAAUGGGUCAGCGACUUACUGUUCGUGGCAAGCUUAACCGUAUAGGGGAGGCGAAGGGAAACCGAGUCUGAUAAGGGCGCAUAGUCGCGGGCAGUAGACCCGAAACCGGGUGAUCUAGUCAUGGCCAGGGUGAAGGUGCCGUAACAGGUACUGGAGGCCCGAACCCACGUCUGUUGCAAAAGACGGGGAUGAGCUGUGAUUAGGAGUGAAAAGCUAAUCGAACCCGGAGAUAGCUGGUUCUCCUCGAAAGCUAUUUAGGUAGCGCCUCAUAUGUAUCCUCUCGGGGGUAGAGCACUGUUAUGGCUAGGGGGUCAUCGCGACUUACCAAACCAUUGCAAACUCCGAAUACCGAGACGGACUGUAUGGGAGACACACGGCGGGUGCUAACGUCCGUCGUGAAAAGGGAAACAACCCAGACCCACAGCUAAGGUCCCAAAUUCACUGCUAAGUGGAAAACCAUGUGGAAAGGCACAGACAGCCAGGAGGUUGGCUUAGAAGCAGCCACCCUUUAAAGAAAGCGUAAUAGCUCACUGGUCGAGUCGGUCUGCGGGGAAGAUUUAACGGGGCUAAGCAGUGAACCGAAGCUUGGGGUGUGCAUAUUUAUAUGUACGCGGUAGAGGAGCGUUCCGUAAGCCGUUGAAGGUGGAUUGAGAAGUCUGCUGGAGGUAUCGGAAGUGCGAAUGCUGACAUGAGUAACGAUAAUGCGGGUGAAAAACCCGCACGCCGAAAGCCCAAGGUUUCCUUGCGCAACGUUAAUCGGCGCAGGGUGAGUCGGCCCCUAAGGCGAGGACGAAAGUCGUAGUCGAUGGGAAGCAGGUUAAUAUUCCUGCACCUCGCGUAAGUGCGAUGGAGGGACGGAGAAGGUUAGGUGUACCCGGCGUUGGUUGUCCGGGGGAAAGGCGGUAGGUUUGGAUCUUUGGCAAAUCCGGGAUCCUCUAAGACCGAGCACCGAGACGAGUCUUUAAGACAAAGUCACUGAUACCACGCUUCCAGGAAAAGCUCCUAAGCUUCAGCUUACGCAGACCGUACCGUAAACCGACACAGGUGGGUAGGAUGAGAAUUCUCAGGCGCUUGAGAGAACUCGGGUGAAGGAACUAGGCAACAUGGCACCGUAACUUCGGGAGAAGGUGCGCCCUUUUUGGUGGCUCAUGCGAGCUAUAGCUGAAGAGGGCCGCAGAAACCAGGCCGCUGCGACUGUUUAUCAAAAACACAGCACU
Molecule: ribosomal RNA, 1778 nt
Filed under: Escherichia coli
Lineage: Bacteria; Pseudomonadati; Pseudomonadota; Gammaproteobacteria; Enterobacterales; Enterobacteriaceae
Description: partial 23S ribosomal RNA
Rfam family: Bacterial large subunit ribosomal RNA
Source: RNAcentral